Molecule: transfer RNA, 74 nt
Filed under: Methanomassiliicoccales archaeon PtaB.Bin134
Lineage: Archaea; Methanobacteriati; Thermoplasmatota; Thermoplasmata; Methanomassiliicoccales
Also listed under: 3 other names
Description: tRNA-Met
Rfam family: tRNA
About the family: Transfer RNA (tRNA) molecules are approximately 80 nucleotides in length. Their secondary structure includes four short double-helical elements and three loops (D, anti-codon, and T loops).
Source: RNAcentral
GGGUCCGUAGCUUAGUCCGGUGGAGCGAGCGGCUCAUAACCGCUUGGUCGUCGGUUCAAAUCCGACCGGGCCCA